This 611-nucleotide ribosomal RNA is filed under the name uncultured bacterium. Its description in RNAcentral is "bacterial SSU rRNA". It matches the Rfam family "Bacterial small subunit ribosomal RNA", at positions 338 to 950 of the family's 1533-position model. The record is from RNAcentral.
CCUACGGGAGGCAGCAGUAAGGAAUAUUGGUCAAUGGAGGCAACUCUGAACCAGCCAUGCCGCGUGCAGGAAGACGGCCCUAUGGGUUGUAAACUGCUUUUGAACUAGAGAAAACCUUGGUACGUGUACCGAGUUGAUAGUAUAGUUAGAAUAAGCAUCGGCUAACUUCGUGCCAGCAGCCGCGGUAAGACGAAGGAUGCAAGCGUUAUCCGGAUUCAUUGGGUUUAAAGGGUGCGUAGGCGGACUGAUAAGUCAGUGGUGAAAUCUCUCAGCUUAACUGAGAAACUGCCAUUGAUACUGUUAGUCUAGAGUACAGAUGAUGUGGGCGGAAUAUGACAUGUAGUGGUGAAAUACUUAGAUAUGUCAUAGAACACCGAUUGCGAAGGCAGCUCACAAAACUGUAACUGACGCUGAGGCACGAAAGUGCGGGGAUCAAACAGGAUUAGAUACCCUGGUAGUCCGCACCGUAAACGAUGAUUACUCGUUGUUGGCGAUAUGACAGUCAGCGACCAAGCGAAAAGCGAUAAGUAAUCCACCUGGGGAGUACGCCGGCAACGGUGAAACUCAAAGGAAUUGACCGGNNGAGAGNGCGAGGCGACACGAGGGAGAGG